GUGGAUGUAGCUCAGUUGGAAGAGCGUAAGAUUGUGGCUCUUAAGGUCGUGGGAUCGAAACCCACCAUCCACAUUUUUUAUAAUUUCUAUUAUAAACUAUUAAAACAAAAUAAAAAUGUGGAUAGUGGGUUUCGAUCCCACGACCUUAAGAGCCACAAUCUUACGCUCUUCCAACUGAGCUAUAUCCAC
Molecule: transfer RNA, 189 nt
Filed under: Tetrahymena thermophila SB210
Lineage: Eukaryota; Ciliophora; Oligohymenophorea; Hymenostomatida; Tetrahymenidae
Description: Tetrahymena thermophila microRNA MIR821
Rfam family: tRNA (bases 1-73)
Source: RNAcentral